This 705-nucleotide ribosomal RNA is filed under the name bacterium xpnta114lbIM2onp9.24dc. RNAcentral describes it as "bacterial SSU rRNA". It matches the Rfam family "Bacterial small subunit ribosomal RNA", at positions 50 to 771 of the family's 1533-position model. The record is from RNAcentral.
UACACAUGCAGUCGAACGAUGAACCUCACUUGUGGGGGGAUUAGUGGCGAACGGGUGAGUAACACGUGAGUAACCUGCCCUUGACUCUGGGAUAAGCCUGGGAAACUGGGUCUAAUACCGGAUAUGACUGAUCAUCGCAUGGUGGUUGGUGGAAAGCUUUUGCGGUUUUGGAUGGACUCGCGGCCUAUCAGCUUGUUGGUGGGGUAAUGGCCUACCAAGGCGACGACGGGUAGCCGGCCUGAGAGGGUGACCGGCCACACUGGGACUGAGACACGGCCCAGACUCCUACGGGAGGCAGCAGUGGGGAAUAUUGCACAAUGGGCGGAAGCCUGAUGCAGCGACGCCGCGUGAGGGAUGACGGCCUUCGGGUUGUAAACCUCUUUCAGUAGGGAAGAAGCGUAAGUGACGGUACCUGCAGAAGAAGCGCCGGCUAACUACGUGCCAGCAGCCGCGGUAAUACGUAGGGCGCAAGCGUUAUCCGGAAUUAUUGGGCGUAAAGAGCUCGUAGGCGGUUUGUCGCGUCUGCCGUGAAAGUCCGGGGCUCAACUCCGGAUCUGCGGUGGGUACGGGCAGACUAGAGUGAUGUAGGGGAGACUGGAAUUCCUGGUGUAGCGGUGAAAUGCGCAGAUAUCAGGAGGAACACCGAUGGCGAAGGCAGGUCUCUGGGCAUUAACUGACGCUGAGGAGCGAAAGCAUGGGGAGCGA